Molecule: ribosomal RNA, 270 nt
Filed under: uncultured archaeon
Lineage: Archaea
Description: partial 16S ribosomal RNA
Rfam family: Archaeal small subunit ribosomal RNA
Source: RNAcentral
CAGCCCCUCGAGUGGUGGGGAUGAUUAUUGGGCCUAAAGCGUCCGUAGCCUGCCGUGUAAGUUUCCCGUUAAAUCCAGCGUCUUAAGCGUUGGACCGCGGGAAAUACUGUACGGCUAGAGAGUGGGAGAGGUCAGCGGUAUUCUGGGGGUAGGGGCGAAAUCCUUUGAUCCCCGGAGGACCACCAGUGGCGAAGGCUGCUGUCUAGAACACGUCUGACGGUCAGGGACGAAAGCUGGGGUAGCGAGCCGGAUUAGAUACCCGAGUAGUCC